GGAGAGGUGUCCGAGCUGGUCUAAGGAGCACGAUUGGAAAUCGUGUGUACUCAAAAGGUACCGGGAGUUCGAAUCUCCCCCUCUCCGCCA
Molecule: transfer RNA, 90 nt
Filed under: Desulfovibrio fairfieldensis
Lineage: Bacteria; Pseudomonadati; Thermodesulfobacteriota; Desulfovibrionia; Desulfovibrionales; Desulfovibrionaceae
Also listed under: 1 other name
Description: tRNA-Ser
Rfam family: tRNA
About the family: Transfer RNA (tRNA) molecules are approximately 80 nucleotides in length.
Source: RNAcentral